Molecule: ribosomal RNA, 258 nt
Filed under: uncultured bacterium
Lineage: Bacteria
Description: partial 16S ribosomal RNA
Rfam family: Bacterial small subunit ribosomal RNA
Source: RNAcentral
UACAGAGGUCCCAAGGCGUUGUUCGGAUUCAUUGGGCGUAAAGCGCGUGUAGGCGGCCCGAUAAGUCCGCUGUGAAAGUCCAGGCUCAACCCUGGGAUGCCGGUGGAUACUGUCCGGGCUCGAGUCCGGAAGAGGCGAGUGGGAAAUUCCUGGUGUAGCGGUGGAAAUGCGCAGAUAUCAGGAGGAACACCAAUGGCGAAGGCAGCUCGCUUGGGACGUGACUGACGCUGAGACGCGAAAGCGUGGGGAGCAAACAGG